GUCUGGUGCCAGCAGCCGCGGUAAUUCCAGCUCCAAUAGCGUAUAUUAAAGUUGCUGCAGUUAAAAAGCUCGUAGUUGAAUUUCGGGAUCAAUAUGUUGGUCGUGCCUUGGUACGUACUAGCUUAUUGAUUUCUCCUUUCUGACGAACCAUGAUGUCAUUAAUUUGGUGUCAUGGGGAAUCAGGACUGUUACUUUGAAAAAAUUAGAGUGUUUAAAGCAGGCUCGCGCUUGAAUACAUUAGCAUGGAAUAAUGAAACAGGACAUUUGAUUCUAUUUUGUUGGUUUCUAGGAUCGAUGUAAUGAUUAAUAGGGAUAGUUGGGGGCAUUAGUAUUCAAUUGUCAGAGGUGAAAUUCUUGGAUUUAUUGAAGACUAACUACUGCGAAAGCAUUUGCCAAGGAUGUUUUCAUUAAUCAAGAACGAAAGUUAGGGGAUCGAAGACGAUCAGAUACCGUCGUAGUCUUAACCAUAAACUAUGC
This 477-nucleotide ribosomal RNA is filed under the name uncultured Glomus. RNAcentral describes it as "SSU rRNA". It matches the Rfam family "Eukaryotic small subunit ribosomal RNA", at positions 559 to 1042 of the family's 1831-position model. Lineage: Eukaryota; Fungi; Glomeromycota; Glomeromycetes; Glomerales; Glomeraceae. The record is from RNAcentral.